This 1291-nucleotide ribosomal RNA is filed under the name uncultured bacterium. RNAcentral describes it as "partial 16S ribosomal RNA". It matches the Rfam family "Bacterial small subunit ribosomal RNA", at positions 90 to 1399 of the family's 1533-position model. The record is from RNAcentral.
CUUUAGUGGCGGACUGGUGAGUAACGCGUAAGCAAUCUGCCUAUUAGAGGGGAAUAACAGUGAGAAAUCACUGCUAAUACCGCAUAUGCCAUAGUUAUCACAUGAUAAUAGUGGGAAAGGAGCAAUCCGCUAAUAGAUGAGCUUGCGUCUGAUUAGCUAGUUGGUGGGGUAACGGCCUACCAAGGCGACGAUCAGUAGCCGGACUGAGAGGUUGAACGGCCACAUUGGGACUGAGAUACGGCCCAGACUCCUACGGGAGGCAGCAGUCGGGAAUAUUGCGCAAUGGAGGAAACUCUGACGCAGUGACGCCGCGUAUAGGAAGAAGGUUUUCGGAUUGUAAACUAUUGUCGUUAGGGAAGAUACAAGACAGUACCUAAGGAGGAAGCUCCGGCUAACUACGUGCCAGCAGCCGCGGUAAUACGUAGGGAGCAAGCGUUAUCCGGAUUUAUUGGGUGUAAAGGGUGCGUAGACGGAAAAUUAAGUUAGUUGUGAAAUCCCUCGGCUUAACUGAGGAACUGCAACUAAAACUGGUUUUCUUGAGUGCGGGAGAGGAAAGUGGAAUUCCUAGUGUAGCGGUGAAAUGCGUAAAUAUUAGGAGGAACACCAGUGGCGAAGGCGACUUUCUGGACCGUAACUGACGUUGAGGCACGAAAGUGUGGGGAGCAAACAGGAUUAGAUACCCUGGUAGUCCACACCGUAAACGAUGGAUACUAAGUGGUAGGGUGUAUAAAGCAUCCUGUGUCGUCGCCAACGCAAUAAGUAUCCCCACCUGGGGGAGUACGCCCGCAAGGUUGUAACUGGAAGGAAUGGGGGGGGGCCCGCGCAGCGAGGUGAGUAUGUGGUUUAAUUGGAAGGAACGGGACGAUCCUUGGCAGGGCCGUACAUAUGCAGGAGUAUGUGAGAGAUAAGAUAGCUGUUGUGAGUAUGCAGACAGGGGGUGCAUGUUGUUAGUCAGCUUGGGUCGAGAGAGGGUGGGGUAAGUCCCGGAGCGCGCGCCACCCUUAUUGCCAGUUACUAGGUUAGGAGGGAUCUGUCGUGAGUGCCGUGGACAAAACUGGGGAAGGGGGGGAGGAGGUGAAAUCUUCUCGCCCCUUAUGUGUUGGGGUACACACGUGUUACACAGGGGUUGAACCAGGGGAAGCAAGACCGGGAGGAGGAGCCAAACUCAAAAACACGGUCUCAGUUCGGAUUGCAGGCUGCAAUUCGCCUGCAUGAAGUCGGAAUUGCUAGUAAUGGCGGAUCAGCAUGCCGCGGUGAAUACGUUCCCGGGCCUUGUACUCACCGCCCGUCA